Molecule: ribosomal RNA, 206 nt
Filed under: uncultured bacterium
Lineage: Bacteria
Description: partial 16S ribosomal RNA
Rfam family: Bacterial small subunit ribosomal RNA
Source: RNAcentral
AGCGCAGGCGGUUUGAUAAGUCUGAAGUUAAAGGCUGUGGCUCAACCAUAGUUCGCUUUGGAAACUGUCAAACUUGAGUGCAGAAGGGGAGAGUGGAAUUCCAUGUGUAGCGGUGAAAUUCGUAGAUAUUCGGAGGAACACCAGUGGCGAAGGCGGCUUACUGGUCCAUUACUGACGCUGAGGUGCGAAGGCGUGGGGAGCAAACA